UAUGGUGGCUCAAUUGGUA
This 19-nucleotide non-coding RNA is filed under the name Arabidopsis thaliana (thale cress). Lineage: Eukaryota; Viridiplantae; Streptophyta; Magnoliopsida; Brassicales; Brassicaceae. The record is from RNAcentral.